GUCCACGCCCUAAACGAUGCGAACUGGACGUUGGGAGCAAUUAGGCUCUCAGUGUCGAAGCUAACGCGUUAAGUUCGCCGCCUGGGAGUACGGUCGCAAGACUGAAACUCAAAGGAAUUGACGGGGCCCGCACAAGCGGUGGAGUAUGUGGUUUAAUUCGAUGCAACGCGCAGAACCUUACCUGGCCUUGACAUCCACGGAAUCCUUGAGAGAUCAGGGAGUGCCUUCGGGAACCGUGAGACAGGUGCUGCAUGGCUGUCGU
RNAcentral lists this ribosomal RNA (262 nucleotides) under uncultured bacterium. RNAcentral describes it as "partial 16S ribosomal RNA". It matches the Rfam family "Bacterial small subunit ribosomal RNA", at positions 793 to 1055 of the family's 1533-position model. The record is from RNAcentral.